CCUGGUGGCUCAGAUGGUAAAGCGUCUGCCUACAAUGCGGGAGGCCCGGGUUCAAUCCCUGGGUCAGGA
Molecule: transfer RNA, 69 nt
Filed under: Bos taurus (domestic cattle)
Lineage: Eukaryota; Metazoa; Chordata; Mammalia; Artiodactyla; Bovidae
Rfam family: tRNA
About the family: Transfer RNA (tRNA) molecules are approximately 80 nucleotides in length. Their secondary structure includes four short double-helical elements and three loops (D, anti-codon, and T loops).
Source: Rfam by way of RNAcentral